AUGAACGCUGGCGGCGUGCCUAAUACAUGCAAGUCGAGCGAACAGACGAGGAGCUUGCUCCUCUGACGUUAGCGGCGGACGGGUGAGUAACACGUGGAUAACCUACCUAUAAGACUGGGAUAACUUCGGGAAACCGGAGCUAAUACCGGAUAAUAUAUUGAACCGCAUGGUUCAAUAGUGAAAGACGGUUUUGCUGUCACUUAUAGAUGGAUCCGCGCCGCAUUAGCUAGUUGGUAAGGUAACGGCUUACCAAGGCGACGAUGCGUAGCCGACCUGAAAGGGUGAUCGGCCACACUGGAAGUGAGACACGGUCCAGACUCCUACGGGAGGAAGCAGUAGGGAAUCUUCCGCAAUGGGCGAAAGCCUGACGGAGCAACGCCGCGUGAGUGAUGAAGGUCUUCGGAUCGUAAAACUCUGUUAUUAGGGAAGAACAAAUGUGUAAGUAACUAUGCACGUAUUGACGGUACCUAAUCAGAAAGCCACGGCUAACUACGUG
RNAcentral lists this ribosomal RNA (496 nucleotides) under uncultured bacterium. RNAcentral describes it as "partial 16S ribosomal RNA". It matches the Rfam family "Bacterial small subunit ribosomal RNA", at positions 29 to 507 of the family's 1533-position model. The record is from RNAcentral.